RNAcentral lists this ribosomal RNA (450 nucleotides) under uncultured bacterium. RNAcentral describes it as "bacterial SSU rRNA". It matches the Rfam family "Bacterial small subunit ribosomal RNA", at positions 354 to 796 of the family's 1533-position model. The record is from RNAcentral.
GUAGGGAAUAUUGCGCAAUGGGCGAAAGCCUGACGCAGCAACGCCGCGUGGGUGACGAAGCUUUUCGGAGUGUAAAACCCUGUCAGUGGGGAAGAAACGGUCGCGUAGGUAAUGACGCGGCCCUGACGGUACCCGCAGAGGAAGUUCCGGCUAACUCCGUGCCAGCAGCCGCGGUAACACGGGGGGAACGAGCGUUGUUCGGAUUUACUGGGCGUAAAGGGUGCGUAGGCGGGCCGGUCAGUCGGGUGUGAAAGCUCACGGCUUAACCGUGAAUCUGCAUCCGAAACUGCUGGUCUUGAGUACGGGAGAGGAAAGUGGAAUUCCAGGUGUAGCGGUGAAAUGCGUAGAUAUCUGGAGGAACACCGGUGGCGAAGGCGGCUUUCUGGACCGAUACUGACGCUGAGGCACGAAGGCCGGGGGAGCAAACAGGAUUAGAAACCCUAGUAGUCC